This 497-nucleotide ribosomal RNA is filed under the name uncultured bacterium. RNAcentral's name for it is "partial 16S ribosomal RNA". It matches the Rfam family "Bacterial small subunit ribosomal RNA", at positions 28 to 507 of the family's 1533-position model. The record is from RNAcentral.
GAUGAACGCUGGCGGCGUGCCUAAUACAUGCAAGUCGAGCGAACAGACGAGGAGCUUGCUCCUCUGACGUUAGCGGCGGACGGGUGAGUAACACGUGGAUAACCUACCUAUAAGACUGGGAUAACUUCGGGAAACCGGAGCUAAUACCGGAUAAUAUAUUGAACCGCAUGGUUCAAUAGUGAAAGACGGUUUUGCUGUCACUUAUAGAUGGAUCCGCGCCGCAUUAGCUAGUUGGUAAGGUAACGGCUUACCAAGGCAACGAUGCGUAGCCGACCUGAGAGGGUGAUCGGCCACACUGGAACUGAGACACGGACCAGACGCCUACGGGAGGCAGCAGUAGGGAAUCUUCCGCAAUGGGCGAAAGCCUGACGGAGCAACGCCGCGUGAGUGAUGAAGGUCUUCGGAUCGUAAAACUCUGUUAUUAGGGAAGAACAAAUGUGUAAGUAACUAUGCACGUCUUGACGGUACCUAAUCAGAAAGCCACGGCUAACUACGUG